Long non-coding RNA from Peromyscus maniculatus bairdii (prairie deer mouse), 969 nucleotides. RefSeq lists it as uncharacterized. NCBI's taxonomy places the organism in Eukaryota, Metazoa, Chordata, Mammalia, Rodentia, Cricetidae. The record is from RefSeq and is a predicted model, not a curated record.
GCUCAAGUGAGCUCUGUACUUCACGCCGGUCUUAGCUCUCCGGCAUCUGUCGCCUCCUCUUGGGCGUGGGCUUUUGCAAGCCACUGCACUAUCUCCCAUUUCCCAGCCCUCUCCUCCCCCCACCUCUGCCGCAAUCAUCUUUCAGGUCUCCGAUUCCACUCAGACCUUCACCCAGCCCUUGGCCAGAAGAGGAGAAUGGAACUCUAGCUGAAGAGGUGGAGUUUUCCUGGACUGAGCCCCUGCCCUGUCUGCGUCGCCAUGCCUCCAGGAAUACCAGCUAGAGAGCUUCCUGGGAGGCUCCCGAUCAGCUUCCAGCCUGCUCCGUCCCUGAGGGUGUCUGCAGGCUACCUCACCCCAAAGGCACACGUAUGUUCAACUAUUCCAAACAUCCCUUGGCUCGGCCUUUGUAGACUAUGAGCUCUUUGUCAUUUCCUAAUUGCUGGGCACGGACAGUUACGGGACACUGAAAAGAUAGUAAGUGCUGAUAAAUGGAAGAAGACUCCUCUCGGUUACCAAGUUGGCACUGCAUACAAGUUCCUGUUGCCAUUGGUCAGGAGACUCAGAGAACUGCCGUGGGCACACUGAGUGGGUAAGAGCAGUGUUGGAGAACCAGGGAGGGGAGCCAAAUUCCUACGCUGGAGAGGUCACAGGGCAGCUCGGAUCGAUACAGCACUUUUGAUCUGCACGGUUAUCAAGGUCCACAGCAUCACUCCCUCUUCCCACUGGCUAAUGGAACUCUUUACCCUAAAUUAAGAUGAUUAUUUCGCUUUGAUGUCGCUUUUAUACUUGCAAAGUGUUUUAUAAUCCUUCAUUAGCUGUUUUAUUCUCUUCUCAUUAGCAUUAGCAUUACCCACUUCACAAAGCAGGUAACUCAAGACAACACGAGGGUGCUGAGCCUGUGGCCUGAACCCUGGCCACAGACUUCACAGACUCCAGCUGAUGGAGACUUGGUGGCCCUCAGGAGGAAGU